This 468-nucleotide ribosomal RNA is filed under the name uncultured bacterium. Its description in RNAcentral is "partial 16S ribosomal RNA". It matches the Rfam family "Bacterial small subunit ribosomal RNA", at positions 28 to 507 of the family's 1533-position model. The record is from RNAcentral.
GACGAACGCUGGCGGCAUGCUUAACACAUGCAAGUCGAACGGCAGCGCCCGUCCUUGCUGGUGUGCUCGAGUGGCGAACGGGUGAGUAACACAUGAGUACCCUGCCCUUGGCUGUGGGUUACCUUCCGAAAACUGGGGCUAUUACCCAUUCGAAGCUCCGACUACAGGGUGGGGGUUGGGAGGUUUCGGCGGUUGGGGUUGGACUCGGGGGUUAUCAGCUUGGUGGUGGGGGAGUGGCAUACCGAGGGUGUGACGGAUAGGCGGCCUGAGAGGGUGAACGGCGACAUUGGGACUGCGAUACGGCCCAGACGCGUACGGGAGGCAACAGGGGGGAAUAUUGCCCAAUAAGGGGAAGCCUGAGGAGGCAACGCCGCGUGUGGGAUGACGGCCUUCGGGUUGUGAACUGCUUUGGCCUGAGACGAAGCGUGAGUGACCGGAAUGGGUAAAGAAGGACCGGCUAACUACGUG